Molecule: ribosomal RNA, 118 nt
Filed under: Escherichia coli
Lineage: Bacteria; Pseudomonadati; Pseudomonadota; Gammaproteobacteria; Enterobacterales; Enterobacteriaceae
Source: RNAcentral
UCUGGCGGCAGUAGCGCGGUGGUCCCACCUGACCCCAUGCCGAACUCAGAAGUGAAACGCCGUAGCGCCGAUGGUAGUGUGGGGGGUCUCCCCAUGCGAGAGUAGGGAACUGCCAGAC